RNAcentral lists this ribosomal RNA (492 nucleotides) under uncultured bacterium. RNAcentral describes it as "partial 16S ribosomal RNA". It matches the Rfam family "Bacterial small subunit ribosomal RNA", at positions 29 to 507 of the family's 1533-position model. The record is from RNAcentral.
AGUGAACGCUGGCGGUAGGCCUAACACAUGCCAGUCGAACGGCAGCACAGUAAGAGCUUGCUCUUACGGGUAGCGAGUGGCGGACGGGUGAGGAAUACAUCGGAAUCUACUUUUUCGUGGGGGAUAACGUAGGGAAACUUACGCUAAUACCGCAUACGACCUACGGGUGAAAGCAGGGGAUCUUCGGACCUUGCGCGAUUGAAUGAGCCGAUGUCGGAUUAGCUAGUUGGCGGGGUAAAGGCCCACCAAGGCGACGAUCCGUAGCUGGUCUGAGAGGAUGAUCAGCCACACUGGAACUGAGACACGGUCCAGACUCCUACGGGAGGCAGCAGUGGGGAAUAUUGGACAAUGGGCGCAAGCCUGAUCCAGCCAUACCGCGUGGGUGAAGAAGGCCUUCGGGUUGUAAAGCCCUUUUGUUGGGAAAGAAAAGCAGCAGGUUAAUACCCCGCUGUUCUGACGGUACCCAAAGAGUAAGCACCGGCUAACUUCGUG